RNAcentral lists this non-coding RNA (31 nucleotides) under Homo sapiens (human). Lineage: Eukaryota; Metazoa; Chordata; Mammalia; Primates; Hominidae. The record is from RNAcentral.
UCACCCAAGCAGUGUGCACCGUACCCAAUGU